This 113-nucleotide ribosomal RNA is filed under the name Theropithecus gelada (gelada). Lineage: Eukaryota; Metazoa; Chordata; Mammalia; Primates; Cercopithecidae. The record is from RNAcentral.
AUCUGCCAUCUAUUACUUUUUUUUUUUCCCCUCUUAUCUCAGAAGUUAAGUAGGGUCGGGCCUGGUUAGUACUUGGAUGAGAGACCGCCUGGAAAUACUAGGUGCUGUAGAUU